Molecule: long non-coding RNA, 704 nt
Organism: Anneissia japonica
Lineage: Eukaryota; Metazoa; Echinodermata; Crinoidea; Comatulida; Comatulidae
Exons: 3
Source: RefSeq, a predicted model, not a curated record
ACUUAUUCCUUAAAUAAACUUCCAAUCUCUAAAAUGUCGAAGUUUCCAGGAGCCUCGCCCCUGACCAGUGACCUCCUCCAAUGGCUUCUCUGGUCGUCCCCUGGCCCCGGUCAAUUACACUCUCAUUGUUGUCAUCGUACUCCCGUCUCAGUCAUUUCCUGGCGUCACCAUUGGGAGAGGGGGAAGAUUUCUGUGCGUUGUCUAAAUUCGGAGUGGCUGAUCAAAUGGAUUGAAUUAUUGUUAGUCUGUUCAUACAGGAUCCAUAUUUUCGAUCGACAAUAAGUUGUGUAUUUGAUUAUUCUAAUUUUUGGUAAUGAUAAAUGUAUUACUUCUCAUGCUUUGUGCCUUUGUAUACACCAAUAAAUCAUAAAUUAUACGUUAAUAUAGCUCUAAUGAAUCUCUAUACUACACCUUAUUCCCAGCGAUCUCAUUUAUCUAGACGUCACAACUGUAUACGAAAGUAACGAAGCAUUCUGGUGAACAUGGAGUAUUUACCUUGGGAACAAAACAAAUUAGUACAGGCUAUAGAGAGAAAGGACUGGCCAGCAGUAAGAAACAUCCUGGAAAAUGAACCGCACCUUAAUGAAACUGUGGAUGAGGACGGCUGGACGCCAUUAAUGUACGCUGUGCAGUGGGGAGCACCAGAUGAUGUGUUGGAGAAUAUGAUUGAAACGGCAACAGUUAAGUGUUUAGAACAUGAGAGG